RNAcentral lists this ribosomal RNA (305 nucleotides) under uncultured bacterium. RNAcentral's name for it is "partial 16S ribosomal RNA". It matches the Rfam family "Bacterial small subunit ribosomal RNA", at positions 508 to 807 of the family's 1533-position model. The record is from RNAcentral.
ACAGCAGCCGCCACGGUAAUACGAAGGGGGCUAGCGUUGUUCGGAAUUACUGGGCGUAAAGCGCACGUAGGCGGAUAUUUAAGUCAGGGGUGAAAUCCCGCAGCUCAACUGCGGAACUGCCUUUGAUACUGGGUAUCUUGAGUAUGGAAGAGGUUAGUGGAAUUGCGAGUGUAGAGGUGAAAUUCGUAGAUAUUCGCAGGAACACCAGUGGCGAAGGCGGCUAACUGGUCCAUAACUGACGCUGAGGUGCGAAAGCGUGGGGAGCAAACAGGAUUAGAUACCCGAGUAGUCCCUGUCUCUUAUAC